Molecule: ribosomal RNA, 459 nt
Filed under: uncultured bacterium
Lineage: Bacteria
Description: partial 16S ribosomal RNA
Rfam family: Bacterial small subunit ribosomal RNA
Source: RNAcentral
CCUACGGGAGGCAGCAGUGAGGAAUAUUGGUCAAUGGGCGGAAGCCUGAACCAGCCAAGUAGCGUGCGGGAUGACGGCCCUACGGGUCGUAAACCGCUUUUGCACGGGGAUAACACCCUCCACUUGUGGAGGUCUGCAGGUACCGUGCGAAUAAGGGCCGGCUAAUUCCGUGCCAGCAGCCGCGGUAAUACGGAAGGACCGGGCGUUAUCCGGAUUCAUUGGGCUUAAAGGGAGCGUAGGCGGGCGUUCAAGUCGGCGGUAAAAUCGCGCGGCUCAACCGUGCCCCGCAGUUGAAACUGGAGGGCUUGAGUUCGCAGAAGGCAGGCGGAAUUCGUGGUGUAGCGGUGAAAUGCAUAGAUAUGACGAGGAACCCCGAUUGCGAAGGCAGCCUGCUGGGGCGGGACUGACGCUGAUGCUCGAAGGUGCGGGUAUCAAACAGGAUUAGAUACCCUUGUAGUC